GUUUCCUUUGCGCUCCUGAGGGGCUUGAUGAAAACCUUAUACUAUGUCUGCUGGACAGGACACUGGAGCAAGAGAUACUGGAGAUCUCUCUGCAUCCUGGCACCAAACCCAAACCAGUAACUCUGGGACAUUCUUGACUGAGGGUUAACCUCAGAAACCUGGUAAUCCAUAUGAUCCCACAGCUAUGCCUCAUGGCCCAAAGGGCAGGAUUUCAUCUCCACCGUCCUUUUCUUCAACGUGAAGGGCUGUUGACCCUACUCACAGAGGGCUCUGUGUUGAACCAAGGUGCUUCAUGCAACAGUCCCAGCUGAGCUCCCAGCAGAUGCCAGCACCAUUCGCUAUCCAUGUG
This 349-nucleotide long non-coding RNA is filed under the name Homo sapiens (human). Its description in RNAcentral is "non-protein coding LINC02589:10". Lineage: Eukaryota; Metazoa; Chordata; Mammalia; Primates; Hominidae. The record is from RNAcentral.